UCAUAUGGUCCCACCUUAUUAAUUUUAUUUUCUACUCCUUUUCAGGCAUCGUAUGCCUCAGUUACUUUCCUAGAGAUUCCAAGAUUGGAAUUUCCAAUUUCCACUGUUCUGUAUUGCACUGUUUUCUAGGUGCAGCUUGAAUACUGCUUCUACCCUGAAGCUUUCUCAUCCUCUGAGCACCUCAUGGACUGUAGCCAAAGGGCUCUCAAAGCCACAGGCAGUCUGACAAAAGUGCUCUCCCCUUUCCUCCAUAAGGAAUUACAACCUGUAUGUCUGCAAAUCUACACUGCCUCAUCCCUCCUUCUCAGUGUAUGACCUUGCCUUGCUAACUCCAGAGAAAUUUCAGAGAUAAAGGUGAAAAGUCCUUAAUUUCCUAACAGCAAACCUACAGAUUUAGUAUCUAAACCCACCUUUUCUUCCUUUUCCUCACGUAAAGGACAUCUUUCCUCUAAAGCCAAUCCUUCCUCCUCUCCCCUAGGAUCCAUCCCUUCCUGUUUUUCGAAGGGCUAAGUUUCUCUCCUAUUAGCUCCUUUCCCAGAAGCAUUUGAACAUGCCCAUCACUCCAGAUUUACAAACACAAAACCUCCGAACCCCAUAUAACAUUUCUCCUUUGCUUACUACCCUCUUCCCCUCACUUUGACGAUCUCAAGCAAAAUUCUUUCCCUAGCUUCCAUGUGCCCCUGCUAGUUUCCCACCCCUCAUGACUCCUUUCCAACCUCUAUUCGUCUCUUGAUUGUUGUCAUCCUACCCCUGGGGAAUCAGUGACCACUUACAUAUUCAUGAAUCCCAAGUCUGUCCUGAAACCUCUCCUCCUUGUGUCAUUAUCACAGCUCUUACCAAGGGAACCAGUCACUGGACUACAUAUCAUGAUUAACUACUCUGAAGCGUACCACAUAGAUGAGGAAACUGGAUUUUGACUAUGUGCCUAAACUACAUAGCUUUCAAGAGGCAGAGCCAGGAUUUUAGUAUAGAUUGUCUGCAGUCUUUGCAUAUACACCCAGAUAGUCUACAUGAAAACUAACUCAUUUUACCUAGAUAAACUUUACCCUGCCUCAUGUUCCCUCACAACCAAUGAACCAGAGGUACAAACCAGAAACCCUGACACAUUGUUUUCUCCCUUAUUUCUGCAGUCCAAUGCAUGAUCAAGACCACCUAAAUGGCAUUACCACUGUCACUUCCUUGGAUUACUGCCAAACUUCAUACUGCCAACCCGAGCAUUCCCAGUCUUGAUCCCAUAAGAUUCAGUCUUAACAGUUCAAUGAUCUAAAUCUGAGAUAUCACGCCAUUUUAA
Molecule: long non-coding RNA, 1291 nt
Filed under: Homo sapiens (human)
Lineage: Eukaryota; Metazoa; Chordata; Mammalia; Primates; Hominidae
Description: HSALNT0053308
Source: RNAcentral